Molecule: ribosomal RNA, 416 nt
Filed under: uncultured bacterium
Lineage: Bacteria
Description: bacterial SSU rRNA
Rfam family: Bacterial small subunit ribosomal RNA
Source: RNAcentral
AAGACCUUGCACUUUUGGAGCGGCCGAUGCCUGAUUAGCUAGUUGGUGGGGUAAAAGCCUACCAAAGCUUCGAUCAGUAGCUGGUCUGAGAGGACGGCCAGCCACACUGGGACUGAGACACGGCCCAGACUCCUACGGGAGGCAGCAGUGGGGAAUUUUGGACAAUGGGGGCAACCCUGAUCCAGCCAUGCCGCGUGAGUGAAGAAGGCCUUCGGGUUGUAAAGCUCUUUCAGCCGGGAAGAAACGGUUGCGAAUAACACCCNUGACGGUACCGAAAGAAGAAGCACCGGCUAACUACGUGCCAGCAGCCGCGGUAAUACGUAGGGUGCGAGCGUUAAUCGGAAUUACUGGGCGUAAAGGGUGCGCAGGCGGUUUUGUAAGUCAGAUGUGAAAUCCCCGGGCUUAACCUGGGAACU